Prunus mume (Japanese apricot) is the source of this 619-nucleotide long non-coding RNA. RefSeq lists it as uncharacterized. NCBI's taxonomy places the organism in Eukaryota, Viridiplantae, Streptophyta, Magnoliopsida, Rosales, Rosaceae. The record is from RefSeq and is a predicted model, not a curated record.
UAUGUGGUGUUUACUGGAGUUAUAUAUAUUAUAAGGUGGGGGUGUGGGAUUGAGAAGGGAGGAGGAAAACUUAUACCUGGCUAUCAUAAAAAAUGGUUCCCAAGGCCAAUUCUGUGUACAUGAGUGUCUUCAUCAUAUUGUUGUUGUUCUCAUCCAAAGUUGCGCUUGCCAGAGUUUCCCGUUCUUCAGAAACCAAACAGAAGACUGGUACAGAAUUUGAGAAGAUGAAGAAUAUUAACCUGGCAAAAAAAAUAGGCGUACCUAAACAUGAAGAUCCAGAUAAUCAUGGUCUCCUGCAUUAGUAAUUAGAGUGAUCAAUGAAUAAUUAGAGUGGUCAGCUGACCCUUCUAAAAUUUCGCAAUUAUUGUAUAUGAUUUUAUUUUAUUUUUAUAUAUGAUUGUAAGGAUUUGUUUAGGAAUAUGGGUACAGUGCUUUACUUACAUGCACUGAUUCCGUUUUCCACAAUAUAUCCAGCGAUCAACAAGUUUUUGUGGUUGAGAUGGCUUGAGACCUCUCUUCCACUUUUCUUUCUAAGAGUAAGGUGGUAUGUUAAAGUCAUCGUCUUAUAAAUGCAAUGUUUGUAUUUUGUGGUUGAAUUUUAAUGAUGAUAUUGAUAGAA